UCGAGAAUCUUCCACAAUGGGCGAAAGCCUGAUGGAGCGACGCCGCGUGACUGAUGAAGUCUUUCGGGAUGUAAAGGUCUUUUAUGAGGGAUGACAUAGCGACAGUACCUCAUGAAUAAGGGGCUGCUAAUCACGUGCCAGCAGCAGCGGUAAUACGUGAGCCCCAAGCGUUAUCCGGAAUUACUGGGCGUAAAGAGUGCGUAGGUGGUUGUAUUAGUCUUCUGUUCAAUCCUUCGGCUCAACCGAAGAA
This 250-nucleotide ribosomal RNA is filed under the name uncultured bacterium. RNAcentral describes it as "partial 16S ribosomal RNA". It matches the Rfam family "Bacterial small subunit ribosomal RNA", at positions 355 to 620 of the family's 1533-position model. The record is from RNAcentral.